AUUGAACGCUGGCGGCAUGCCUUACACAUGCAAGUCGAACGGCAGCGGGGGAGGAGCUUGCUUUUCCUGCCGGCGAGUGGCGAACGGGUGAGUAAUACAUCGGAACGUGCCCCGUAGUGGGGGAUAACUAGUCGAAAGAUUAGCUAAUACCGCAUACGACCUGAGGGUGAAAGUGGGGGACCGCAAGGCCUCAUGCUAUAGGAGCGGCCGAUGUCUGAUUAGCUAGUCGGUGGGGUAAAGGCCUACCAAGGCGACGAUCAGUAGCUGGUCUGAGAGGACGAUCAGCCACACUGGGACUGAGACACGGCCCAGACUCCUACGGGAGGCAGCAGUGGGGAAUUUUGGACAAUGGGCGAAAGCCUGAUCCAGCAAUGCCGCGUGUGUGAAGAAGGCCUUCGGGUUGUAAAGCACUUUUGUCCGGAAAGAAAUGGCUCUGGUUAAUACCUGGGGUCGAUGACGGUACCGGAAGAAUAAGGACCGGCUAACUACGUGCCAGCCGCCGCCGUAA
RNAcentral lists this ribosomal RNA (508 nucleotides) under uncultured bacterium. RNAcentral describes it as "partial 16S ribosomal RNA". It matches the Rfam family "Bacterial small subunit ribosomal RNA", at positions 30 to 523 of the family's 1533-position model. The record is from RNAcentral.